This 478-nucleotide ribosomal RNA is filed under the name uncultured bacterium. RNAcentral describes it as "partial 16S ribosomal RNA". It matches the Rfam family "Bacterial small subunit ribosomal RNA", at positions 28 to 523 of the family's 1533-position model. The record is from RNAcentral.
GACGAACGCUGGCGGCGUGCUUAACACAUGCAAGUCGAACGGUAAGGCCCUUCGGGGUACACGAGUGGCGAACGGGUGAGUAACACGUGGGUGAGCUGCUCUGCACUUCGGGAUGAGCCUGGGAAACUGGGUCUAUUACCGGCGAGGACCACUGCAUACAUGGGGGGCGGGGGAAAGCUUGUGCGGUGUGGGAUGGGCCCGCGGCCUAUCAGGUUGUUGGUGGGGUGAUGGCCUACCAAGGCGACGACGGGUAGCCGGCCUGAGAGGGUGACCGGCCACACUGGGACUGAGAUACGGCCCAGACUCCUACGGGAGGCAGCAGUGGGGAAUAUUGCACAAUGGGCGCAAGCCUGAUGCAGCGACGCCGCGUGAGGGAUGACGGCCUUCUGGUUGUAAACCUCUUUCAGCACCGACGAAGCGCAAGUGACGGUAGGUGCAGAAGAAGGACCGGCCAACUACGUGCCAGCCGCCGCCGUAA